Ahaetulla prasina is the source of this 4445-nucleotide long non-coding RNA. RefSeq lists it as uncharacterized. The record is from RefSeq and is a predicted model, not a curated record. NCBI's taxonomy places the organism in Eukaryota, Metazoa, Chordata, Lepidosauria, Squamata, Colubridae. The transcript has 3 exons.
CCGCAGCCAGGCAUACAAUGAAGCUGUCUCAAAUAAAAAAAUGUUUAUCCUCAGGGCAGGCCUGAACCAAGUUUUUCUGAUGUUUCACAGAUUCAAAAUUGAUCUGCCAAUGUCAGUGUGGCUUUGGUGUACUUAGAAGAAAGGAGACCUUAAGUUUUAACUAUGCCAGGAGAACAUUGAUGGGAGCAAAGCAUAUUCCUUUCUACCAAAUUUUUAAAGGAGGAAAGAAUCUGUAGUGGGGGACCAGACCACACCUGUGUUUAUUGGUACCGCAAUGUCUACUAUCCAGACUUUUUAAAUCUUUAUUAUCAACAAUGGUUAAGUCUGGUGGUAUUGUGUGGCAGAUAAUUGUGUGCUUGAAUUCUAAAGUCCCAGAACAACUUUAGUUUCCUCAUGUUCUAUUACUUCAUUAAUAGUGAUCCCUCGAGUGCUUGUUUGCAGGUAAAUGGUAUUUCUUGCAAUGAAAUGAAGUCCCGUGGCUUCAGUUCCUGACACUAGCUCACAAAAAAAAACAGCUGACCAGAGUAUAUGUGGAUGAUCUCAAGAUGUCUUCUUUUUCCAGAAAGAUUUCUAAAAACUGGAAAGUCUGGAUCCGACAUCCUUUUGCCAAUUCCAGUUGUACAGAUAUUCCUCAACUUGCAACAAUUCAUUUAGUGACCGGUCAAGUUUACAACACUGAAAAAAAGAGACUUUUGACUGUUUUCACACUUACAACCAUUGCAGCAUCCCCAUGGUUAUGAGAUCAAAACUCAGGUGCUUGACAACUGGCAUGUAUUUAUGACAGUCCAGAGUUCUGGGAUCAUAUGAUCAACUUUUGUGACCUUCUGACAAGCCAAGUCAAUGAGGAAGCCCGAUUCGUUUAACAACCGGGUUACUGACUUAAUUGCUGUGAUUCACUUAACUGUGACAAGAAAAGUUGUAAAAUGGGGCAAAAGUCAUUUAACAAUUGUCUUGCUUAGGAAUGGAAAUUUUGGGCUCAACGGUAUUCAUCAGUCAAGAACUACCUGUAAUGUCUCCCGGGAGGUCAGUUCACCAUUUCCUUACUGGCAGUCCCCCUUAAAUACUUUAAUUCCAAUCUCCUUAGGCCUUUAAUGGUCAUAACCAGCAUCUUGAAUUUUAAUCAGAAGUAAACUAGUAAUUAGCGCUGUUGGAGAAAGAAUGAUGUGAUGUACUAGCUAUUUCCUCUCUGCUUUUCUUUCCGGAGCCUGACUUUUGAAAAACAGAAUAACAGAACAAGUGCAUGCAAUUCUUUCACUUUCCUACUCAGAGACCAUGGUUUAAUGUUACUCAUGGAUCAAGGAGCUACAACACAUGCAUGCUAUACCAGAUGGCAAACCAGAGCUUGUUGUGGUUUGCCAUUCUCCAGAUCCAUUUUCUAGCAGCAUUAUGGUGACUUGUCAAUUAACAUUUUAUUUCUUUUUUAAACACAAAGGCCUCACAGUGGCCUUGAUCAGAAUCAGCGGCACCACAAACAAGAGAGGAAGAAGCUAAUUUCCCUCUUCAUCUCCUUUGUGUGCCUGAUGUACAUAUCCCCAUGGGUGAAAAAAAUCUGGAGAAUCAUCUCAGGUUGUGUUUUUUUCUUCAUUAAAAAUUAACCGUAGAUUGGCCUUGUAGUCUGGAUUUAUGAUAUCAAAGAGAGCUACUUUUGUGUAGCAGUUAAGGUACCAGGUUAGAAACUGAGAAAAAAAAAGAGUUCUAGUCCUCCUUAGGUACAAAGACAACUGGAUGACUUUGGACCAGUCACUCUCUCACCCCUAGUUAGCAGGCAAUGACAAACCAGUUCUGAAAACUUUGCCAAGAAAACUGCAGGGACUUGUCCAGGAGUCAAGAGUGACGCGAGAACAUGCAAUGAUAUCAAAAUAGAAUAGAAUAGAACAGAAUUUUAUUGGCCAAGUAUGAUUGGACACACAAGGAAUUUGUCUUGGUGCAUAUGCUCUCAGUGUACAUAAAAGAAAAGAUACGUUCAUCAAGGUACAACAUUUACAACACAAUUGAUGGUCAGUAUAUCAAUAUAAAUCAUAAGGAUUGCCAGCAACAAGUUAUAGUCAUACAGUCAUAAGUGGAAAGAGAUUGGUGAUGGGAACUAUGAGACGAUUAAUAGUAGUGCAGAUUCAGUAAAUAGUCUGACAGUGUUGAUGGAAUUAUUAAUGGAAUUAGGGAACAGCAACAACUCAGGAUUGAAGAUCGUUAAGCUAUCUAUAAUGUGACCCAAAAUAUGGGUUUGAAUGCAUGGCUAAUCCAACUCGUAAUGCGAUAUAAAUGAGACUUGCCAGCAAGGAUUUUCCUUGUGUUUGCUGCUGGGCAAACUGCAUGGAACUGGCAGUCAAUCGGCGGUGUUGGCUCCUUGCCAGCAGCAACCGUGCUUUGUUUUUUUCAUUGGAAGGCUGCCUGCCUGCCACAGCCCCCCUGCCUGCCCCCAAUCCCGGCUCAGAUUUCACAUCCAUUCAUCCAGUGGAGUGAACUCCUGAAAACAUCUGUGAUCCAAUGUUGGUGACGACAAAACAAACAAAAAGCAGGAUGCAUUUACAGACCAUUGGAAAUGGCUUACGGUAUGGCAAGGCUCAUAGUUUCCAUUCAUUUUUUCCCCCCUCUGACUGCAUUGCUGCUUUUUAUACAGAUUGGGAACAGAAGAUCACAAGCAGAGGUAUUGCUUGUCCUGCACUUUGGGCAUGAACCCAGGAAUUUAUUUUUAAAGGUCUCACCACAUCUAUAACCAGUAAGUGCUGUAAGUGUCAUCUGGUCUCAUUUGCAAAUUUACUUUUCCUUGGAAGUGGAAUUGCUAUAUAAGGGGGUGGGUUUAUUAAGUUAGUGAAGUGAGCAUUAAUUCUCUCCCUACAUGCUAUAUAAUUGCAUACCGCUCUUUGCUACAGCUCUCCCCUACAGCAAUUAAGUUUAAGAAAAGCAUUCCAUCGGGGAAAAAAGGAAGACUUUUUCUUUAAUUUUGGGGGCAAUUUUCCCUGGGAGGGCAAAUAAAUUAUUGAUUACAUUGCACAAGCAAAAAUUGCCUUGACUUGGGGAUAAAAGAGUUAUUAGCAAAGUAGAAAAUUGUAUGUUUUAGCAGUCUAUCUUUAUACCACAAAUGUGUUUAUGAUACUGCAGAAAUAGGAAGUGGAGUGAGGAGGGAAUUACUGUCUCCAGGGAUUAUGCUGGUUUAAAUAGCUUUCCUAUGCUGAAGUGCAAUGAGAAACUUCACUUUCUCUUGGGAGAGAAAUGAUCUAUUUAAGGCAGUAUCAGAAAAUAUUCCCAGAUGCUCCAUCAUUUGGCAAGCAAUUGGGAUUUCAGAGAAGUUUGUUCAGUUUCCAGAAAUCUGAGUUGAAUAAGCAAUGGUUAUUCCAAUGUUUAUUUUUGUGGUUGAAUUAGGUCUAUGAGUGAGAAAUAUAGAAAGACAGAUAACUGACUCUCUGUUGGACAUCAGAAUGCAAUUGCUUCUAUAUAAAAUAUUCCUUCAUUUUUUAAAACAUGAUUUUGAGAAGUCUUCUCUAACUGGCCCUCAUCAGAUAUAUUAGCUCUCCCAGAAUUCAGAAUUAAUGUGGGCAAAGGAAUUCCAAAAGUCCUAAUACAUCAGUAUAAGAAGACUGAUUUAGAGAUUAGUUUCAAACUUCAAAGUUAUAAAGUGUCACCUCUGUUUAUGUAAUUCCCCCCUUGUUUAAUGUUUUGCUUUAACCAUGGUCUCUCUUGUCCCCCUCCCCCAAUUCUUCCCAACCUUAUAUUUGGAAUAAAGUUCCAGAAAUCCUAGGUUGCAUGUUUGAGUUGUUGCUGAACAUUCUGGCAAUCUGGCAAAAUAUUUGGCGUACUGAUUGAAAAAUGUUUUAAAAUAGUGUUUUUACUAGGAAUCUUUACGAGAACUUACAUCAAAGAGAUAAAAUAUCAGAUUUUACACAUUACAACAGCUGCACGAAUAACAUAUGCACAAAACUGGAAACAGGAAAAGACACCAACAGAUGAAGAAGUGAUAGGGAACGUUUUACAAUGUGCCAAAAUGGACAAGUUAACAAAAGAAAUUAAAAAGAAGAGACAAAUCAUUAUAUAAUCUGGAACAAAUGGUAUGAAUGGCUUGACACAGGAAAAAAAAUAAAGGGGAGAAAUUAGAAAUGUACAAUAUGUAAAUAAUAAAUAUAUAAGAAUCUAGAAAAGUAAAGCUAUUAGUAUUAGAUAACUUAAUGUAAAUAAAGAAAAUGGGAUAAGAAAGAAAAUAAAAUAAUAAAUGAGAUAUGGGGGGAAAGGUAUAAAAGCGAAACAAGACCACUAAGAAACGUUGUUUAAAAAUAGUAGAUAUUUAUAUGUUGUAUGUUUGUCAGAUUGUGUAUCAAAAUAAAACAAUAAAAAAAGUUUUAAAAAAGAAAGAAAAAUGUUUUAAAAUAGUGUUUUCAAUACAGGUGCAAAUGUCCAUAAUAGAUGAAGAACUGACUUUGGAGCUUUUACAGGAGUGUUUUUCAAAUUUGGCA